Molecule: long non-coding RNA, 1800 nt
Filed under: Malus domestica (apple)
Lineage: Eukaryota; Viridiplantae; Streptophyta; Magnoliopsida; Rosales; Rosaceae
Description: long non-coding RNA (MDOM_LNC020302)
Source: RNAcentral
GGGAAGGACAAAGCAGAAACCAAGGCAUUUCCGUCCUUUCACUAUUUAUGAACAGUGAACUCUCUCAUAUGAUGAACAAUGUUUUUCUGCUGAGCUUUAAUUGAUAUAAAUUGGAUACAGGUUUAGCAGCACCAGUGCUAUAGAACCCCAAUUCAGGCUGGAGUUUUAUCAGAAGGAUUCCCCGUUUCAAUUCAAGUUGUGAGUUGUUAAUCACUUAUACUUUGGUUCACUAUUUCUUUCUUUGUUUCCAUGUAUAAACACAUGAUCAUGAUCUACCAAUAAUAAAAUCUGUUUUGGAUAAAUUGACAGAUUGAGCAUGGCAGCAGAGAUCAACCCAGUAGAAAACCCAGGUAUCUAUCAUGAAAAUCAAAGUAUUAAAUAUAUAUGAAAGGUUCUCUUUGUUUCCUUUUGUGUAAGGAAUACAUGGCCAAUCACUCUUGAAUUUAAUAUCAAGGGUGAAACUGUGAAGAAUAAAUGGAUGUGCUUUCAAGAUUUUAUAUCUAUCAAAUUCAAGGAUUGGUGACCAUGAAUCAUUGACCAUCAGGUGACCAAAAGAACGAGAUUCGACAUGUUUAUCAAUAUCUUGUGAAUUAUUUUCUUUUAUUUUUCUGUUUAAAAUUUUAAUUUUAAUUUUUUUUCCCUAUAAUCCAUUGUUUCACAACAAGGUUAUCUCAAAACCUUGAUAUCAAAUUACGGAUUAGAGAUUGUUGGGUGUUGAGUGAUAAAAGUUUUUUUUUACCUUCGUUGAGUGAUAAAAGUUGGGUGUGAAGAGAUUGUUGUGUAUAAAUAGAAACUAGAUUUAAGUUACUUUUUGCUACAUUACUUUAAUCUUUACUUUAGCAAAGUGAAAGGGAAGAAAUCAUGUACCGAAUCCAAAGCUGAUGAGAGACGUGAGGCCGGGAAGGACAAAACUGACUUAUUACUGUAGCAAAGUGUCAACAGUACGGGACCAAAGCAAAAAACCAAGGGUAUUUCCAUCCUUUCACUGCUGAUGAACAGAGCACUCUCUCAUAUGAUGAACAGUGCCUUCUGCUGAGCUUAGUAGGUAUAAAUUGGAUACAGGUUUAGCAGCACCGGUGCUAUAGAACCCCAAUUCACACUGAGGUUUUAUCUGAAGGCUUCCCCGUUUCAAUUCAAGUUGUGAGUUGUUAAUUACUUAUACUUUGGCUCACUAUUUCUUUCUUUGUUUCCAUGUAUAAACACAUGAUCAUGAUCUACCAAUAAUAAAAUCUCUUUUGGAUAAAUUGACAGAUUCAGCAUGGCAGCAGAGAUCAAGCCAGUAGAAAACCCAAGUAUCUAUCAUGAAAAUCAAAGUAUUAAAUAUAUAUGAAAGGUUCUCUUUGUUUCCUUUUACGUAAGAAAUACAUGGUCAGUCACUCUUGAAUUUAAUAUUAAAGAUGGAAUCGUAGAGAAUAAAUGGAUGUGCUUUCAAGGUUUUAUAUCAAACCUUGAUAUCAAAUUCAGGGAUUGGUAACCAUGAACCAUUGACCAUCAGGCGACUAAGAGAACGAGAUUUCUCAUGUUUAUUAAUAUCUUGUGUAUUAUUUACUUUUAUCGUUUUAUUUAAAAUUUUAAUUUUAAUUUUUUUUCCCUAUAAUCCAGUGUUUCACAAUAAGGUUAUCUUAAAACCUUGAUAUCAAAUUAAGUAUUAGAGAUUGUUGGGUGUUGAGUGAUAUAAGUUGGGUGUGAAGAGAUUGUUGUGUAUAAAUAGAAACUAGAUUUAAGUCUUAGCAUUCUAUGUACUUGGAAGUAAUUUACUUGAAGUUACUUCAGAAGAAUUGAAGAAGGAAAGGUUCGGGA